This 3048-nucleotide long non-coding RNA is filed under the name Citrus x clementina. Its description in RNAcentral is "Citrus clementina (C. clementina) long non-coding RNA (CCLE_LNC000675)". The record is from RNAcentral. Lineage: Eukaryota; Viridiplantae; Streptophyta; Magnoliopsida; Sapindales; Rutaceae.
GUUUAUUGGGGAUUUUGGAGUUGCUUUGAAUGCCCGAUCAAUUUUGGAAGUUUUGAUUUACUAUUCCAUGAAUAGUGCCGAUACCUAAAUCAUAGAUCCGGCCAAAUUUCCGGCGAGUGCAACCUCACCACCCAAUCAGAAUUGUUCCCCUCUGACCGAUCUAAGUUUCCAUAGCUUAUAUGCGAAUUUUGGAGGUGAAUUGAAGCCUACACGACUGUUUAAAGUUUCGAGUUACUAUUCCAGCUACAGUGCUGUUCUUCAUGCUACAGUAUUUUGUUCAUCUUAGCUACAGUAAACGUGAUCUCAACAGUGCUUGUUCGCUACAGUACCCGUAAUCACUACAGUACAUGUUGCUACAGUGAUUUCGGGGCACUAUUCACAGAACUUGGGAUUUUGGGCAUUUUUCUUCCGGGAUCUCUCGUUGCGCCACUCGGCCCGAAUGGCUUCUCCGGCCAUGGCCGGUGGCCAUCCGGCUACUUCUUUGGAGUUCCCGCCGCUUCCGUCGUUUGCACAAAUGGCGGCAAAACCGCCCACUGCUCAACCCUGCAAAUCGUUUGUGGAUGCCGCUGUUGAGUCUCAAAGAGCUGCUCCGGCUAUUGCUUUCAGGCAAUCCUCGACCCACAGAGGCGAGCCGGCCAUAUUUUUCUCCGAGGAAGAAAUUAACAUCAUGGCCGCACCGUUCAAGCUUGCUUUGGUGGGUAAGUUUUCCUUCGGCCGCCCUCCCAUUGAUGUUAUCCGCAAAUUUUUUGUGGCUCUUGGCUUGAAGGGAAAUUGUGAAAUCUCAUUAUUGGAUCCUCGCCACAUCCUUAUCCACCUGCACCUGGAAGAGGACUAUACGAGAAUUUGGCUCCGCCAAUCUUGGUUUAUUGAUGGCCGAGCUAUGAGGGUGUUCAAAUGGUCCACAACUUUUCACAGUUCGGAAGAGUCGCCGAUUGUUCCGGUAUGGGUCUCCUUGCCGUUUUUACCUGUCCAUUACAUGAGAUGCAAAGAGGCUCUGUAUUCGAUUGCUGCUGCCAUCGGUAAACCGCUUCGGAUCGAUCAUGCCACCGCCGCGGUCAGUAGGCCUACUGUUGCUAGAGUCCUCAUUGAGUAUGACAUUUCUAGGCCUCUAUUGAAGCGGUUAUGGAUCGGCGAAAAAGACACUGGAUUCUGGCAGUAUAUUAUCUUCGAAAAGGUGCCUCGGUAUUGUGCUGCCUGCAAGCACGUGGGCCACUCUGAUGAUUCUUGCUAUAUCAACAAACCCGAGUUGCGGAAAGCGGACCGUGUUGGCCCAGUUCAGCAACCUGUUGUUCCUGAUGGUGAGCGUAACAAGACGAAGGCACCUAUGAAGACUCAGUAUGUCCAGAAAGCUGAUAACAGAACCCAGAACACGGUAACAAAUGUAGCGGCCACAGUUCUUCCUCCGGUUGUUCAUAAUGGUCCUACCACCAGUGCCGAAACCAGGGAAGCACAAAAUGAUGUUCCUCCUGCUAAAACGACACAAGUUGCCAUUUCUGAUCCUCCCGCCGUUGCUGACAUACCUCCUCUGCGCACAGUCACCCAGCCUUCUGUUGUGUGUGCCUCUUCUGAGCCCACGUGCAGUGACCUCGUUCCUGCUGUUACUGGUGCUGAUUCCACGGUCACUACUCCUACACCUCUUGUAGCUCUUCAGCCGUUGAGUGGUGAUCAUGCCGCUCAUGUGGGAAUUACAGCCGGUGAUCUUAUUUAUCGUGAGAUUCCUGCUUGGGAUCCUUAUCGCCAUCAAGGGCGAUUUUACCGCAGCUCAUCCUGGCAGACGGCCAGUUCAUGUGAUACUUUUCCAGACAUUCCGUCUACCGAUGUCUUGGCAAUCCAAUGUGCUCCACAUGAUGCUACGCCGAUAUGCACUCUUAAUACUGAAUCCACUGAUGUCCCUGAGGUAUCUCCUGCACCCGACACUUCAAAAGAUAGAAUUGGAAAGAGUUAUCCGUACGAGGAUUACACCAGCUCGAGUGAUGAUGACGUUCAUGUUAAUGUCCGUAUCGGCAUUUCAGACUCAGAGAUUAUGGAGGGUUCUGCUAUCGAGAAAUUGGGCGGACAGAGAAUUAUCACUUCUACGGAGGGUUUUGCGGAAGUUGCUCCACGGAAGGGCUACAAGAUGUCCCGUAGACGCCGGCGAUAUUGAUAUCAUAUGUUUAUUGUAGUUUGUAUUUUGCUUGUCUUGUUGAUGUUUGCUGUUUGCUCUGGAGGUUUGGUCUAUGCCCCCCUCCAGUAUUGUAUUUUAUUUUCCUUUACUUUCUUUUUAUCUACAGGUAGGGGUCCCGCCUAACCCCCCACCUCCGGGUGGUUUCUAAUAAAAAAAAAAAAACCCUAAACCCUAAACCCUAAACCCUAAACCCUAAACCCUAAACCCUAAACCCUAAACCCUAAACCCUAAACCCUAAACCCUAAACCCUAAACCCUAAACCCUAAACCAAACCCUAAACCAAACCAAACCAUUAUUCCCGGAUCUGCUACAGUAGCGUUUUGCUACAGUGACAAUUUUCUCUCAAUCGCUACAGUGAUGCCGAGCCUUUAAUUCAACUUUCCGGCCAAUUUCCGGUGAGUGAAUGUACACCUCCACUUCCAGCACGUCGGCCUUUGAAUUCCCUUCGAUUUGAUAUGUUGCUUGGAAAUUAUGGAGCACGUUUGGAGCUUGAAAGAUUGAAGUGAAGUCGGAUUACUAUGCGUGCUACAGUACCCGAAUGCUAGUUUCGGUUUUCCGACCACAUUUUCCGACAAGUAAGCUUACACCUCCCUCUUAAACAUAUUCACCCUUCGUUGAUCUACAUUUCUGUGUGUUUAUUGGGGAUUUUGGAGUUGAUUUGAAUACCCGAUCAAGCUUUGAUGUUUCGGUUUACUAUUCAAUGAAUAGUGCCGAUAUCUAAAUCCUAGAUCCGGCGAUAUUUCCGGCGAGUGAAUUCUCACCUCCCCCUCAGAAUUGUUCCCCUCUGAACGAUCUACGUUUCCAUACCUUAUAUGAGCAUUUUGGAGGUGAUUUGAAGCCUACACGAUAAUUUGAAUUUCGGAUUUACUAUUCCUGCUACAGUG